Suillus decipiens is the source of this 84-nucleotide non-coding RNA. Lineage: Eukaryota; Fungi; Basidiomycota; Agaricomycetes; Boletales; Suillaceae. The record is from the annotation of a GenBank genome assembly.
GGCCUGGUGGUCUAGUAGUAUGAUUCCUUGUUAGGGUAGUAUUCAAUAUCGAGGAGGUCCCGGGUUCAAUUCCCGGCCAGGCCC